AGCGCGAAGAAGGCGGCCAUGAGUCCGUUGCAGGCCCGCCACAGGGCAGGCGCCAUGGCUCGGAGAACGCGGCGCGGGGCGGUGAGUCCUGCCACGUGCGGGGCGGUGUGGUCAGCUACUCCGGAAUGUGGCAGGGGUGGAGGCCGGACAAAGUCUGAGACAGGGUCAUCACCAUAGCACCUGACAUACCUGGAUAUAAACAAUAUCCAAGGCCCCUAAGGUAAAAGCCAUGCUCCAAGUCCCCUUCUGACUUCUAGUCACUUCCGUGCUGCCAGCAGAGAGCAUGGGAUUCUUCCUGAGGAGCCUGAGUCUCAGCUUUGCCAGGUCCUUGCUGUGUGACCUUGGGCACCUGUGCUCCCUUAACAAAGAGGAAUAAAACCUCUUCAGACUACUCUCCUAUCGAUUCUCUCCUGGAACAUAUGACCACCAUCAAUUAUAGGCAAGAACAUGAACACGGGAGUCCCAAAGACUUGGGUUCAAAUGUCAGCCCCUUCACUCACUGGCUGUAGGUGUGAGGCCCUGGGUAAGGUCCUUACCUCCC
This 541-nucleotide non-coding RNA is filed under the name Pan troglodytes (chimpanzee). The record is from RNAcentral. Lineage: Eukaryota; Metazoa; Chordata; Mammalia; Primates; Hominidae.